UGGACAGAUUAUUGUAUUCGACUGUAUUCACGGCGUGAAACAGGGGAGUACACUGUUUAAAACGGAAAGUGAAUCAAUUAACAUAAUAGACACCU
This 95-nucleotide microRNA precursor is filed under the name Nicotiana sylvestris (wood tobacco). RNAcentral's name for it is "MIR6152 microRNA precursor family". It matches the Rfam family "MIR6152 microRNA precursor family". RNAcentral also lists the same sequence under 1 other name. Lineage: Eukaryota; Viridiplantae; Streptophyta; Magnoliopsida; Solanales; Solanaceae. The record is from Rfam by way of RNAcentral.